RNAcentral lists this ribosomal RNA (1247 nucleotides) under uncultured bacterium. RNAcentral's name for it is "bacterial SSU rRNA". It matches the Rfam family "Bacterial small subunit ribosomal RNA", at positions 94 to 1335 of the family's 1533-position model. The record is from RNAcentral.
AGCGGCGGACGGGUGAGUAAUGCUUAGGAAUCUGCCUAUUAGUGGGGGACAACAUUCCGAAAGGAAUGCUAAUACCGCAUACGCCCUACGGGGGAAAGCAGGGGAUCUUCGGACCUUGCGCUAAUAGAUGAGCCUAAGUCAGAUUAGCUAGUUGGUGGGGUAAAGGCCUACCAAGGCGACGAUCUGUAGCGGGUCUGAGAGGAUGAUCCGCCACACUGGGACUGAGACACGGCCCAGACUCCUACGGGAGGCAGCAGUGGGGAAUAUUGGACAAUGGGCGCAAGCCUGAUCCAGCCAUGCCGCGUGUGUGAAGAAGGCCUUUUGGUUGUAAAGCACUUUAAGCGAGGAGGAGGCUACUUAGAUUAAUACUCUAGGAUAGUGGACGUUACUCGCAGAAUAAGCACCGGCUAACUCUGUGCCAGCAGCCGCGGUAAUACAGAGGGUGCGAGCGUUAAUCGGAUUUACUGGGCGUAAAGCGUGCGUAGGCGGCUUUUUAAGUCGGAUGUGAAAUCCCUGAGCUUAACUUAGGAAUUGCAUUCGAUACUGGGAAGCUAGAGUAUGGGAGAGGAAUGGUAGAAUUCCAGGUGUAGCGGUGAAAUGCGUAGAGAUCUGGAGGAAUACCGAUGGCGAAGGCAGCCAUCUGGCCUAAUACUGACGCUGAGGUACGAAAGCAUGGGGAGCAAACAGGAUUAGAUACCCUGGUAGUCCAUGCCGUAAACGAUGUCUACUAGCCGUUGGGGCCUUUGAGGCUUUAGUGGCGCAGCUAACGCGAUAAGUAGACCGCCUGGGGAGUACGGUCGCAAGACUAAAACUCAAAUGAAUUGACGGGGGCCCGCACAAGCGGUGGAGCAUGUGGUUUAAUUCGAUGCAACGCGAAGAACCUUACCUGGUCUUGACAUAGUAAGAACUUUCCAGAGAUGGAUUGGUGCCUUCGGGAACUUACAUACAGGUGCUGCAUGGCUGUCGUCAGCUCGUGUCGUGAGAUGUUGGGUUAAGUCCCGCAACGAGCGCAACCCUUUUCCUUAUUUGCCAGCGGGUUAAGCCGGGAACUUUAAGGAUACUGCCAGUGACAAACUGGAGGAAGGCGGGGACGACGUCAAGUCAUCAUGGCCCUUACGACCAGGGCUACACACGUGCUACAAUGGUCGGUACAAAGGGUUGCUACCUAGCGAUAGGAUGCUAAUCUCAAAAAGCCGAUCGUAGUCCGGAUUGGAGUCUGCAACUCGACUCCAUGAAGUCGGAAUCGC